AAAAAGAUAAACCCUAGGUUUCCGUGCCAACGUUUGACCGUCCGUCUUAUAUGAAAUUUUUUUAUAAUUAGUAUUUUCAUUGUUGUUAGAUGAUAAAAUAUGGUUAAUACUUUAUGCAUGACUUAUCUUUUUAAUUUUUUUAUAAUUUUUUCAAAUAAUACGGAUGGUCAAACGUUGGACACGGAAACCAGGGUUUGUCUUUUU
RNAcentral lists this microRNA precursor (204 nucleotides) under Oryza nivara. Its description in RNAcentral is "MIR812 microRNA precursor family". It matches the Rfam family "MIR812 microRNA precursor family". The record is from Rfam by way of RNAcentral. Lineage: Eukaryota; Viridiplantae; Streptophyta; Magnoliopsida; Poales; Poaceae.